This is a long non-coding RNA of Etheostoma cragini (Arkansas darter), 144 nucleotides long. RefSeq lists it as uncharacterized. The transcript is spliced from 3 exons. Lineage: Eukaryota; Metazoa; Chordata; Actinopteri; Perciformes; Percidae. The record is from RefSeq and is a predicted model, not a curated record.
GCUAAGCUACUAGUUUCUUAGUGUUACUUUGCCAGACCUUACUCCCGUGCCCUGCGGAGGAGGGUUCGGCUAGUCCACACAGCAUUCUGGGAUGGGAGAAAAACUUGCUCUGGUUUAUCGGCAUUGGCAUUUCUUUACACUACC